This 531-nucleotide ribosomal RNA is filed under the name Triticum aestivum (bread wheat). RNAcentral's name for it is "partial small subunit ribosomal RNA". The record is from RNAcentral. Lineage: Eukaryota; Viridiplantae; Streptophyta; Magnoliopsida; Poales; Poaceae.
CCGCUUUUAUUCUCAAAACAGGCCUCAUUCAUAAAUCUCCAAAUCUUCCAUAAUACAGCAGCCAACCCCACUGCGGUACAAAAAAUUGUCCUGGUGUUUUCAAUCUAAGCCCUCAGAACCUAAAGAAGUCAUGAUCAGUAUCAGGUACAAUUUUUCAGAUUAAAAGUGAGCUGCAAAAUGGUUCGGAUCAACUAAGUAUCCCAUCUCCGCCAUGUAACUAACAUGCUUUAUUCCUGUUCCACAUUUGCAAAGUAUCUCCCCAAAGGGUCCUUGUAAAUCGCUCUGAUUCCCAUAUGAUUUUAGUUUUAAUGUAGCUGAUUUGAACAUUAACAAAAUAGUCACCGAAAUAAGUUUGACAUAUUGAACAGAAAUAUAGUUUGUGGAUAAUAUGCUUGGGACGGAUUCGAUAAGAGAACAACAAUCAAAUAAUAUGACUUGUACCACUCGCACUUAAAACUGACUAAUAGAAAGGAAACCAGGAAUAAUUUUCCGACAAUGUGAUCAUCAGCGAUUCAACAUCAAACACAGCUA